Molecule: ribosomal RNA, 498 nt
Filed under: uncultured Glomeromycotina
Lineage: Eukaryota; Fungi; Glomeromycota
Description: partial small subunit ribosomal RNA
Rfam family: Eukaryotic small subunit ribosomal RNA
Source: RNAcentral
CCAAUAGCGUAUAUUAAAGUUGUUGCAGUUAAAAAGCUCGUAGUUGAAUUUCGGGGUUCUACCGUCGGUCGGGCUACCAAGUCUGUACUGGUGUGUAGAAUUUCUACCUUCUGGGGAACCAUCAUGUUAUUAAUUUGGCGUGGUGGGAAACCAGGACCUUUAUCUUGAAAAAAUUAGAGUGUUCAAAGCAGGCUUACGUCUGAAUACAUUAGCAUGGAAUAAUAGAAUAGGACGGUGGUCCUGUUUUGUUGGUUUCUGAAUCACCGUAAUGAUUAAUAGGGAUAGUUGGGGGCAUUAGUAUUCAAUUGUCAGAGGUGAAAUUCUUGGAUUUAUUGAAGACUAACUUCUGCGAAAGCAUUUGCCAAGGAUGUUUUCAUUAAUCAAGAACGAAAGUUAGGGGAUCGAAGACGAUCAGAUACCGUCGUAGUCUUAACCAUAAACUAUGCCGACCAGGGAUCGGACGAUGUUAACCUUUAUUGACUCGUUCGGCGCCUUACG